AUGGCUCGUGGUAAGGUUCAGAUGAGAAGGAUAGAAAACCCAGUGCACAGGCAGGUCACCUUCUGCAAGCGGCGAAUGGGCCUUCUGAAGAAGGCAAAGGAGUUGUCCGUUUUAUGUGAUGCUGAUAUCGGUGUCAUGGUGUUUUCUCCUCAUGGAAAGGUUUAUGAGCUAGCUACCAACGGGAACAUGCAAGGCUUAAUUGAGAGGUACAAGGGUAGCAACACAGAAGCACAUGGUGAAAGUAGCGAGCAGAACAAACCCGAGGUAAUACAGCAAGAGGUACUACUCUUAAGGCAAGAAAUUGACUUGCUUCAAAAGGGCUUAAGGUACAUGUAUGGAGAGAAUGAUAUAAACCACAUGAAUCUCAAUGAGCUGCAAGCCCUGGAGAGUAACCUUGAAAUUUGGGUACACAAUAUCCGCUAUACAAAAAUGCAGAUCAUAUCUAGGGAGAUUGAGAUGCUCAAGACCAAGGAAGGCAUACUGAAGGCUGCCAAUGAUAUACUUCAAGAAAGGAUAAUUGAGCAGAGCGGGAUUCUGGACACCGGCAGCAACAUGAUGAUGCCACAAUUUCCCUUCCAGCGAACCAUGGAGGGUGGAUACUACUUCUAG
RNAcentral lists this ribosomal RNA (609 nucleotides) under Triticum aestivum (bread wheat). Its description in RNAcentral is "partial small subunit ribosomal RNA". Lineage: Eukaryota; Viridiplantae; Streptophyta; Magnoliopsida; Poales; Poaceae. The record is from RNAcentral.